UCGGCUAGGGGGUCAUCCCGACUUACCAAACCGAUGCAAACUCCGAAUACCUAUGAGUACUAUCCGGGAGACAGACUGCGGGUGCUAACGUCCGUAGUCAAGAGGAAAACAAUCCAGACCGCCAGCUAAGGCCCCAAAAUCAUAGUUAAGUGGGAAACGAUGUGGGAAGGCAUAGACAGCUAGGAGGUUGGCUUAGAAGCAGCCACCCUUUAAAGAAAGCGUAAUAGCUCACUAGUCGAGUCGGCCUGCGCGGAAGAUGUAACGGGGCUAAAA
Molecule: ribosomal RNA, 273 nt
Filed under: Acinetobacter baumannii
Lineage: Bacteria; Pseudomonadati; Pseudomonadota; Gammaproteobacteria; Moraxellales; Moraxellaceae
Description: partial 23S ribosomal RNA
Rfam family: Bacterial large subunit ribosomal RNA
Source: RNAcentral